RNAcentral lists this long non-coding RNA (574 nucleotides) under Salvia miltiorrhiza (redroot sage). Its description in RNAcentral is "long non-coding RNA (SMIL_LNC000359)". Lineage: Eukaryota; Viridiplantae; Streptophyta; Magnoliopsida; Lamiales; Lamiaceae. The record is from RNAcentral.
GAUAUUAGUGUCUAAUUAUGUUUGACUAGGUCUUUUGUUGGCUAAAUAAAAUUUGGACUUAGUUUAGUUUGUAUGAUUAAAGAGGAUAUAUGUGUGUAUAAUGAGUUAUAUGAUGUAUGAGAUCAUGUUUGAGUAUUUGAGUAAUUUUGAGCAUGAAAAUGAGAAGAGAAUUGAAAUGAUGCGUUCUUGAAACGUUUUCUUAAGAAUUGUGUUUGAGAUGUAAGAGAAGAGUCGAGUUGAGUUGUGAUGAGUAAUAUGUCAUGCUUGAAUGUUUUUAAGUGCUAUAAGUGUUUAAAAAUGAGCUUUGAUGAAUUUUCUUUGAAGGAAUGUUGAGUUGAGCAUGUCGGCUUGUGUGGUUGAGUUCGGAGUCAUUUUUUUUUCAUGACGCACUGACCUACUGUUUACGACUCCACUGGAGUUCUGUACCGAGUCUGGUGAGGUUUUGAAGUUGAGUCAGUGCAGAGUGAAGUUUGUUUUUGACUUGUCUAUGUGUGAUUUUCAUAUGCUUAAGUGUUUAUGCUUGUUUAUGUGCUUGAUUGCUAUGAGUAUGGGCCGAGUUGAGAGUUAAGUCGAG